RNAcentral lists this ribosomal RNA (2874 nucleotides) under Triticum aestivum (bread wheat). RNAcentral's name for it is "partial small subunit ribosomal RNA". Lineage: Eukaryota; Viridiplantae; Streptophyta; Magnoliopsida; Poales; Poaceae. The record is from RNAcentral.
AUGGAGACAGGAAAAGUGUUCAGACCAAAAAUGCAUGCAUCCCACAGUGUAGCAGCAUGGUUUUCUCUUGGCUUCCCCUUGCUGGAAGACUGGUUUGUAAGCCUGGUAUUUUUAGGUGGAUUUCCGCCCUGUGAAUGCAAUUUUAUCUGUUUGAUGGCAACCGUUGUAGCAUCUUUGCUUGCAUCAUGUGUCAAUAAGGUGAAAGAUAUCAUUAUUGAUGAGGCCAUACUAAUCCUAGGGGUGAAAAAAGAGCUCAGAGAAGUCCUGCAAAGAGUAGAACUAAUCCGGUGUUGUAUAUAUGAUGCUGAGAAAAGGGGGACAAAAGAACUAGCAGUAAAUAAUUGGCUUGGUCAACUGAGAGAUGUUAUAUAUGAUGUUGAUGAAAUCUUGGACGUGGCUAGAUGUAAAGGAAGCAAGCUACUUCCUGACCACCCUUCGUCAUCAUCAGGCAAAUCAGUUGCAUCUAAAGGCCUUUCAAUGUCCUCUUGUUUUUGCAACAUUGGGCCACGCCGUGAUGUUGCUGUUCGGAUUAGAAACCUCAACAAAAAGAUUGAGAACAUUGCAAAUGACAAGAUAUUUUCAACUUUCAACAGUAGUACGCUGUCUACUCGAAAUGGUCCAACAUCCAAACUGAUAAGAAGCUCCAACCUUGUUGAGCCCAACCUUGUGGGGAAGGAGAUCAUACAUUCUAGCAGGAAACUGGUGAACUUGGUGCUUGCGCAGAAGGAAAAUAAGUCUUACAAAAUAGCUAUAGUUGGAACAGGAGGAGUUGGUAAGACAACUCUAGCUCAGAAAAUAUACAGCAAUCAGAAAAUAAAAGGAAACUUCAAGAUACAAGCAUGGGUCUGUGUUUCACAAGAGUACAAUGAAGUAGCUCUUCUCAAAGAGGUUCUCAGGAAUAUUGGUGUGCACAAUGAGCAAGGAAGAGAAAGAAGUGUGGAAUUUAAAAAACAUCGGGACGAGAUUGUUCGUAAAUGUGGUUGCCUCCCUUUGGCGAUCAAGGUUACUGCUAGUGCUUUGGCAAGCAGAGAUCUAACAGAGAACGGGUGGAGAAGGUAUUUGGACAAAUUUGGCUCCCAGAACAUGCUCUCGGAGGAAAUAGAAGGAGCUCUGUAUCUAAGCUAUGAUGAGUUAACGAUAUAUCUGAAGCAGUGUUUCCUUUAUUGUGCUUUGUAUGGUGAAGAUGUUAUCAUCGAACGUGAAGUAGUUACCUGGUUAUGGAUUGCUGAAGGCUUCAUCGAGGAGCGGGAAGGACAACUGCUGAAAGAGAUAGCAGAAGAGUACUACCAUGAGCUAAUCCUUCGGAAUCUCCUCGAGCCAGAUAUUUUAAGUUGUGACCAGGCCAAGUGCAAAAUGCAUGACCUCUUAAGACAACUUGCUUGCAAUAUAUCAAGGGAAGAAUGUUUUAUUGGAGAUAUUGAAACAUUAAGGGGUGAAAAUCUGUCAAAACUACGACGUGUUACUGCUGUUAUCAAGAAAGAUACGUUAGUGCUACCUAGAGUGGAUAAGCUGGAGGUUAAGGUGAGGACUUUCCUAACUAUGAAAGGUCCAUGGAGAAUUGAGGAUACAUUGUUCAAGAGAUUUCUGCUUCUUCGUGUUUUGGUACUGAAUUACUCACUUGUACAAAGCAUCCCAGACUAUAUAGGAAAAUUGAUACAUGUACGCCUACUUAAUCUAAAUUACACUAGCAUAUCUUGUCUUCCGGAAUCCAUUGGCUCCCUAAAGAACCUUCAAGUACUGAGCUUGAGAUGGUGUCAUGAUCUACACUAUCUUCCUUCCGCGGUGACCCAGUUGAGCAGUUUAAGAUGUCUUGACCUUUUUGGCACAAAAAUAAAUCAGGUUCCAAAAGGGAUAGGAAAAUUAAAGCUCCUCAAUCUUUUAGGAGAUUAUCCUGUUGGUGAUGGAAGUGAUAAUGCUGUUGUACAGGGUGGGUGGAACUUGAAAGAGUUGUCUUCUUUGUCGAAGAUGAGGCAUCUUGCUCUUGUUAAAUUGGAAAGAGCAGCUCACUACAGUAUAAAUGGAGUGCUUAAGGACAAAAAGCAUCUAAAAGAAUUAGUACUAUCAUGGACUAAACGUGAAGAGGGGUCAUAUUCAGAAGAAGAUGUUAGCAAUACUGAGAAGGUCUUUGAGCAGCUAAUACCUCCAUACAACCUGGAAGACCUAUCUAUUGUUAGAUUCUUUGGUCGGCAGUAUCCCACCUGGUUUGGUACCACCUAUUUGUCUUCAUUAAUAUACUUGAUCCUUGUUGAUAUACCAUCAUGUGUGCAUCUUCCAGCCAUUGGGCAGCUAUCCAACUUGAAAUAUCUGAAAAUUGAGGGAGCAUAUGCAGUUACCAAGGUUGGGCCUGAAUUUGUUGGCUGCGAGAAGGCUGAUCACGAGGUGUGGUCUUUUUUUGAGGAAGAAGCUGCUGCUGAUGAAAGGGGGGAGGAUGGAGCUGAUGAGAUUCGAAAAGAGGAUGCCCAAUCUGCAAGGUUGAAAUUGCUGCCUCGUUUGGUGGGGUUGGUAGUCGGACGUUGCGCAAAGUUGAGGGCUCUGCCGCGACAACUCGGAGAGGACACUGCCAGCUUCAAGGAGAUUAUUUUAAAUGGAAUAAACAGCUUGAAGGUUGUCGAAGACUUCCCACGUCUCUCUGAGCUCCUUGCUAUAGAGUAUUGUGAAGGCCUGGAGAGGAUCUGCUACCUCCCUCAAGUGACAGAACUGCGUGUACGUGGUUGCCCGAAUUUAAGCAAUGUAGAGGGAUUGGGCAGUUUGCAGCGCCUGGGGUUGGGCGAGGAUAUGGAAGAAAUACCUUCACGUUGGGUGCACGGGCUUCAAGAGCAGGACCAGCGGCUUCAUGGUGAAGACCUGGAUGUCUACACGUGGUCUAGCAGUUAG